AUUUUAUUACGCAUAUUUCACUUUCUAUUUGCACGUCUGCAGGCGAGAAGAUUCGACUGUAAACAGGCUUCGAUGGAAAUCUGCUUUGUGUUUCCGUGCACUCUUCCACCCUUCGGGAAUCUUAAUGCGCCUGCUAGGAUGUAAUGGGUGACAAACUCCAGAAUGGUGACAAUACCCCAGCAAGCUGUUGACCACUGACCAAGAAGAACAUGCUACUAAUGCUGCAUUCCUUAUACCCUGGAAGUUGGAUGUCGGAGCUGGGAGUGAUGUCAGUUCCAGAAGAAGAAGUUGGAAAAACAAGUUUGUUUUGGUCCUUUGUAAGACUGCAGCAAUUAGCUGACAUUGUGUCCCCUGGAGAAUGGCUCAUAAAAAGAAAAGUUUUCUCCUCGCCAAAAAGGCUUCGGUCACAGCUCUAUGCUUUAGUUCUGGUUUGGCUGAAUGGCGUCACGUGGGAACACAGAACUGCAGGGACUCCAAGCUGUUCCUUUUGGGAUCAAGAACUGAACCUGGUGCAUGCACUGAAGCAAACUGACAGUGAGCUCCUCUAAUCCGCUGCUCUAAUCCACCUCUGCUCAUGGCAACUUGCCUGCUUUUAGCAGAGGUGCACCGCUCGCCAGAACACCUGAUUCAGCAGGCACAGUAGCCAAACGGCUGAAAUCGACAGCAUACAAUUAGAAGAACAUCCUAUUAUCAUAAUGCAAUACAAGAGGGGAGAAACCGAGUCCAGGAAUGUUUAGAUAUGCACCGUUGUCAGUGAAAGCUUUGUGAACAUUAAGUGGUAAACUAUCCAUUUUAUAUGUAUGCUCAGUGUUUAUGUAAAGCUUUAUGUGAUAAUAUAGAGGUGACAAAAUGUUUUAUAUCUAAUACAAUACGCUGUGUAAGGUUCUAAAAGCUAGACGUAAAUAUUUUAUAUCAUCAUAAUUAAUCGGUGUGUGCUUUUGUUUCCAUUUGGCAUUGUAGCACACAUGGGGAUUUUAUGUUUUCCAUACAGCGAUGUAAUGCUCUAAAUGCCAUGCAUGUCUGGGAUGAUCUUAGAUUUACGUAUACUUAUUUACUAAUGCAUGCUUUUAUUCCCAGGAUUAUCAGCUUGAGUGAUGGAGGAUGUUUUUUCAUUGCAGAGGGAAUUCUCAGGCCUGCAGGCUUCUGAUAACAAGCAAACAAAUUGGCAAUUUCUUUAAAGGCAGUCAAUUAAAAUUAAAGGGACGGGUAUUCUAAAUCACCCUCUAGAGAUGGCUUAUAAUUCAACUGAUAGCUUUUGUGGAAUGUGCAAGGAUGAGGACUCAUUUGUGUACAUGUAAUCUGUCAUCUAAGGAGUAACUAAGCCUGUGUUUAGUGAAGAACACUACAAAGUAUGAUCGGGGACAUGUCCAUCGUUUAGACUGGCAGAAAAAUGGCAUGCACACAAAGAGGAAAACAAUGAGAAGGUAGCACCUGUAUGCCUCUUUGAUAUCCAUUAAAACAAGCACUAAAAAGGUGAGGUAUAAUUAGAACAGUGGAGGUGGGACAUCUGCUUAUGAUUUAAAAUUGAAGGUUUCUGAGUCAUUCGCUUUUGUCUAUUUUGGUUGCAGAACAGCCGUUUUUUUUUCCUGCUCUAUUCAAGCAGGUUUACCCCAGCUCAUCUAUAUUGUUCCAGGUCUACACGUCAGA
Long non-coding RNA from Oreochromis aureus, 1647 nucleotides. RefSeq lists it as uncharacterized. The record is from RefSeq and is a predicted model, not a curated record. Lineage: Eukaryota; Metazoa; Chordata; Actinopteri; Cichliformes; Cichlidae. The transcript has 3 exons.